RNAcentral lists this small RNA (83 nucleotides) under Pedobacter psychrophilus. RNAcentral's name for it is "Pedobacter sp. CCM 8644 Flavo-1 RNA". It matches the Rfam family "Flavo-1 RNA". The record is from Rfam by way of RNAcentral. Lineage: Bacteria; Pseudomonadati; Bacteroidota; Sphingobacteriia; Sphingobacteriales; Sphingobacteriaceae.
CAUUAGUUCAAUUGCGUUAACGAUAGUAGCGACAUCCUUUUUUGUUUUUCUCAAAAAAGAUAUAGCGGAUAGCGUGUUAAAAC